RNA transcript from Callithrix jacchus (white-tufted-ear marmoset), 1439 nucleotides. It is a transcript of the gene named LETM1 domain-containing protein 1-like, with no coding region annotated. NCBI's taxonomy places the organism in Eukaryota, Metazoa, Chordata, Mammalia, Primates, Cebidae. The record is from RefSeq and is a predicted model, not a curated record.
CUGGAAAGUGGACAGUUCCCGGCCUAUCCACGCCGCCACCAUUAGAGGACGCCGCGGGUCCUCCCAGUCCCCAGGAGGCGCCAUGGCCCCCGGAACUGCCAAACUGACAUCUGGUACCUAACAGUCGAGGCCCCGACGCCCCGCGUCCAGGAAGAGGGCAAGGGCGGAGCUGGGAAGCCAUGAGGCCCUAGGGAAUCGCGGAGGGUCACUGGGCCCCUCAAGGAGAGGGCGUCCUCGGCAUCGCAAACCCACACCAGUGGCAUAAGAACUUGCUCCCUCAGGGACAGCCUGUUUCCGGCGCCUUUAAACCAGGAAGUACUGCUGUGUCCAAUCCUGGCCCUCCUUUCGCACUUAGUCUUUGAGUCCUUCCUCUCCUGGCUUGUGCUGGAGCCAAGGAGGCUAAGGCUACCAAUCAGCGCUCAGAAAAGGCGCAUGCGUCUUCGAACGAACACCGCAGACGGUUAACUUUGACCCAAAAGCAACCUCCCCUCUCCCCCUUCUCUCGCUGUCAAGAUGGCGCUCUCCAGGGUGUGCUGGGCUCGGGCUGCUGUGUGGGGUUCAGCAGUCACCCCUGGACAUUUUGUCACCUGGAGGCUGCAACUUGGUCGCUCUGGCCUGGCUUGGAGGGGCCCUCGGUCUUCAAAGCUUCACCUUUCUCCAAAGGCAGAUGUGAAGAACUUGAUGUCUUAUGUGGUGACCAAGACAAAAGCGAUUAAUGGGAAAUACCAUCGUUUCUUGGGUCGUCAUUUCCCCCGCUUCUAUGUCCUGUACACCAUCUUCACGAAAGGAUUUCGGAUGUUAUGGGCUGAUGCCAAAAAGGCUAGAAGAAUAAAGACAAAUAUGUGGAAUCACAAUAUAGAGUUUCAUCAACUUCCAUACCGGGAGAUGGAGCAUUUGAGACAGUUCCGCCAAGACGUCACCAAGUGUCUUUUCCUAGGUAUUAUUUCCAUUCCACUUUUUGUUAACUACCUGGUCUUCUUACUAAUGUACCUGUUUCCCAGACAACUACUGAUGAGGCAUUUCUGGACCCCAAAACAACAAACUGAUUUCUUAAAUAUCUAUCAUGCUUUCCGGAAGGAGUUCCACCCAGAAAUCAUUAAUUAUUUAGAAAAGGUCAUCCCUCUCAUUUCUGAUGCAGGACUCCGGUGGCAUCUGACAGAUCUGUGCACCAAGAUACAGCGUGCCACCCACCCAGCAAUACGUGAUAUCUUGGCUCUGAGAGAGUGUUUCUCUAACCAUCCUCUGGGUAUGAACCAGCUCCAGCCUUUUCACGUGAAAGCCUUGAGCCGAGCCAUGCUUCUCACACCUUACCUGCCUCCUCCCUUGUUAAGCAUCGUUUGAAGACUCAUACAACUGUGAUUCACCAACUGGACCGGGCUUUGGCAAAGCUGGGGAUUGGCCAGCUGACUGCUGAGGAAAUAAAAUCGGUAAGAGCUUGA